This 755-nucleotide long non-coding RNA is filed under the name Linum usitatissimum (flax). Its description in RNAcentral is "long non-coding RNA (LUSI_LNC002056)". The record is from RNAcentral. Lineage: Eukaryota; Viridiplantae; Streptophyta; Magnoliopsida; Malpighiales; Linaceae.
CAACAUAAGGAACACCCUUGUGGGAGUUGGCAGGAAUAUCGCCUUGUAAACCGUCUACAAGCUCGGUCAUUGCUUUGACAAUCUCAGGGUCUUCACUGUAGCUCUCGUAGCAUCUUCCCCAUCUCGGAUCUCUGCACACCUAUCAACCAGCAACAAUCUCAGGAUCUUCACUGUAAUAUGAUUGAAGAGAAAUUGGACAUUUCGACUACUUACUGCGAUACAUGGAGCGAAAGCGUAUGGAAUUCCAGUGGCCCUGACUUCAAGUGCAGUUGCUGCACCUAUCCUCUUCACCAGCUCCGGCUCUCUGCCAAUUUCCAACAUCAAGACCAAAACUUUUGGCAACCAACCACUGUGACUGACUCUUGACUAAUGGGACAGUUAGACUAACCUGGUGGCACCAAGGCCGAUAUUAUGAGGGAAGAUGGUAGCAUUAUAUACAUUGUUGUGUCCAUGAACUGCAUCAAUCCCGUAAAUCAUUGGGAUUCCAAGCCUGGUGGAGAGAGAACCAUUCUGGAAGUUGUUGAUCAUCUUUAUCCAUUGCUGGGGUGAAGCUUUCUCAGCAGGGACACUUCCUCCUCCACUCAGUAAACUCCCUGCCACCAUAAAGGUUAGGUUUUGAAUCCUGAAAAUAGCUUUGAAUCUAUCUAUCUAUUUGACCCUUUAAACAAUGCAAUGGAAUUGAUGAAUUUGAUUACCAAUGAAGUAGUUUUUCAUGACGUCAGGUGAAGCAACCUGGCGAUCAAUCUGGACCAUCU